GGAGGAGAUUGUGGAAUGUUGAAUAAGUGGAAUAAACACCUACUGUAAAAACACCAUGAUGGAAUAGAGACUCAAUGGGAGUGGAGGAACGAUGACUCUACCUCCAUUACCUGCUGCAGUAGAAGGGCUGAUAGUUUGACUCCAUCCCCUCUUCCCCUCGCUGAGAGGCAGUUGGACUAUGACAAUGAACCACAGGGGUACCCACCCCACUACCGUGGGCUGUCUCCUCACAGAAUGUCCCUGGUGGAUGAGAUGGAGGAGGAGUGCUUGUACACUGAGGAGGCUUUCAUC
Molecule: long non-coding RNA, 291 nt
Organism: Oncorhynchus masou masou (cherry salmon)
Lineage: Eukaryota; Metazoa; Chordata; Actinopteri; Salmoniformes; Salmonidae
Exons: 3
Source: RefSeq, a predicted model, not a curated record